This 229-nucleotide ribosomal RNA is filed under the name uncultured bacterium. RNAcentral's name for it is "partial 16S ribosomal RNA". It matches the Rfam family "Bacterial small subunit ribosomal RNA", at positions 568 to 796 of the family's 1533-position model. The record is from RNAcentral.
UGCGUAGGCGGAACUUUAAGUCAGUGGUGAAAUCUCUCGGCUCAACCGGGAAACUGCCAUUGAUACUGUUAGUCUUGAGUUCGGUUGAGGUAGGCGGAAUGUGUAAUGUAGCGGUGAAAUGCUUAGAUAUUACACAGAACACCAAUUGCGUAGGCAGCUUACUAGACCGACACUGACGCUGAGGCACGAAAGCGUGGGUAGCGAACAGGAUUAGAUACCCUGGUAGUCC